This 462-nucleotide ribosomal RNA is filed under the name uncultured bacterium. Its description in RNAcentral is "bacterial SSU rRNA". It matches the Rfam family "Bacterial small subunit ribosomal RNA", at positions 337 to 796 of the family's 1533-position model. The record is from RNAcentral.
UCCUACGGGAGGCAGCAGUGAGGAAUAUUGGUCAAUGGACGAGAGUCUGAACCAGCCAAGUAGCGUGCAGGAUGACGGCCCUAUGGGUUGUAAACUGCUUUUAUGCGGGGAUAAAGUGAGGGACGUGUCCCUUUUUGUAGGUACCGCAUGAAUAAGGACCGGCUAAUUCCGUGCCAGCAGCCGCGGUAAUACGGGAGGUCCGGGCGUUAUCCGGAUUUAUUGGGUUUAAAGGGAGCGCAGGCCGAUGGUUAAGCGUGACGUGAAAUGUAGCCGCUCAACGGCUGAACUGCGUCGCGAACUGGCUGUCUUGAGUGAGUUCGAUGUGGGCGGAAUUCGUGGUGUAGCGGUGAAAUGCUUAGAUAUCACGAAGAACUCCGAUUGCGAAGGCAGCCCACAAGGCCUUUACUGACGCUAAAGCUCGAAGGUGCGGGUAUCGAACAGGAUUAGAUACCCUGGUAGUCC